CAACCUGCCUUACACUCUUGGACAGCCUUCUGAAAGGGAGAUUAAUACAAGAUGUUAUCAUGAGUAAGCAUUUUCGCAUGAUUAAAGGUUUACCGGUGUAAGAUGGGGAUGCGUUCCAUUAGAUAGUAGGCGGGGUAACGGCCCACCUAGUCUUCGAUGGAUAGGGGUUCUGAGAGGAAGGUCCCCCACAUUGGAACUGAGACACGGUCCAAACUCCUACGGGAGGCAGCAGUGAGGAAUAUUGGUCAAUGGACGAGAGUCUGAACCAGCCAAGUAGCGCGAAGGAUGAAGGUUUUAUGGAUUGUAAACUUCUUUUAUACGGGAAUAAACGAAUCCACGCGUGGAUUUUUGCAUGUACCGUAUGAAUAAGGAUCGGCUAACUCCGUGCCAGCAGCCGCGGUAAUACGGAGGAUCCGAGCGUUAUCCGGAUUUAUUGGGUUUAAAGGGAGCGUAGAUGGGUUGUUAAGUCAGUUGUGAAAGUUUGCGGCUCAACCGUAAAAUUGCAAUUGAUACUGGCAGU
RNAcentral lists this ribosomal RNA (520 nucleotides) under uncultured Bacteroidota bacterium. RNAcentral describes it as "bacterial SSU rRNA". It matches the Rfam family "Bacterial small subunit ribosomal RNA", at positions 122 to 640 of the family's 1533-position model. Lineage: Bacteria; Pseudomonadati; Bacteroidota. The record is from RNAcentral.